AGUUGAGGUAGAGGCGCGGUAAGUCAAUAGUACUUUUACAAAAGGCACGGAAAGCCGAUGGCGUAAAAGGAAAGGGGCUACCGCCGAAGUACAGCCUAUAUUCCGGAUAGGUUGUACUGGGCCUAUGCCGAAUAGGUAUAGGACUGUCACCAAAAAACCCCCAGUUUUUUGGUGGAGCGCUACUUCAAAU
RNAcentral lists this non-coding RNA (190 nucleotides) under Thermovenabulum gondwanense. Its description in RNAcentral is "Lysine sequence". It matches the Rfam family "Lysine riboswitch aptamer". Rfam says of the family: Riboswitches are metabolite binding domains within certain messenger RNAs that serve as precision sensors for their corresponding targets. Allosteric rearrangement of mRNA structure is mediated by ligand binding, and this results in modulation of gene expression. This family includes riboswitches that sense lysine in a number of genes involved in lysine metabolism, including lysC. Lineage: Bacteria; Bacillati; Bacillota; Clostridia; Thermosediminibacterales; Thermosediminibacteraceae. The record is from Rfam by way of RNAcentral.